GAUGAAGAACGUAGCGAAAUGCGAUAAGUAAUGUGAAUUGCAGAACUCAGUGAAUCAUCGAAUCUUUGAACGCACAUUGCGCCCGCCAGUAUUCUGGCGGGCAUGCCUGUUCGAGCGUCAUUUCAACCAUCAAGCCCCCGGCUUGUGUUGGGGACCUGCGGCUGCCGCAGGCCCUGAAAACCAGUGGCGGGCUCGCUAGUCACUCCGAGCGUAGUAAUACAUCUCGCUCAGGGCGUGCUGCGGGUUCCGGCCGUUAAAAAGCCUUAUUUACCCAAGGUUGACCUCGGAUCAGGUAGGAAGACCCGCUGAACUUAAGCAUAUCAAUAAGCGGAGGA
RNAcentral lists this unclassified non-coding RNA (335 nucleotides) under soil metagenome. RNAcentral describes it as "partial contains 5.8S ribosomal RNA, internal transcribed spacer 2, and large subunit ribosomal RNA". The stretch from base 1 to 120 matches the Rfam family "5.8S ribosomal RNA", at positions 35 to 154 of the family's 154-position model. The record is from RNAcentral.